Molecule: ribosomal RNA, 286 nt
Filed under: uncultured bacterium
Lineage: Bacteria
Description: partial 16S ribosomal RNA
Rfam family: Bacterial small subunit ribosomal RNA
Source: RNAcentral
UUCUCACUACGGGGCGCAGCAGUGAGGAAUAUUGGUCAAUGGGCGCUAGCCUGAACCAGCCAAGUAGCGUGAAGGAUGACUGCCCUAUGGGUUGUAAACUUCUUUUAUAUGGGAAUAAAGUGCAGUAUGUAUACUGCUUUGCAUGUACCUUAUGAAUAAGGAUCGGCUAACUCCGUGCCAGCAGCCGCGGUAAUACGGAGGAUUCGAGCGUUAUCCGGAUUUAUUGGGUUUAAAGGGAGCGUAGGCGGGUUGUUAAGUAAGUUGUGACAGUUUGCGGCUGAACCGU